RNAcentral lists this ribosomal RNA (319 nucleotides) under uncultured bacterium. RNAcentral describes it as "bacterial SSU rRNA". It matches the Rfam family "Bacterial small subunit ribosomal RNA", at positions 28 to 334 of the family's 1533-position model. The record is from RNAcentral.
GAUGAACGCUGGCGGCGUGCCUAACACAUGCAAGUCGAACGAAGCAAUAAAGACGGAGAUUCGUCAAAGCCUUUAUUGACUUAGUGGCGGACGGGUGAGUAACGCGUGAGCAACCUGCCUUUCAGAGGGGGACAACAGUUGGAAACGACUGCUAAUACCGCAUGAUGCAUGACCGGGGCAUCCCGGACAUGCCAAAGAUUUAUCGCUGAAAGAUGGCCUCGCGUCUGAUUAGCUAGUUGGCGGGUAACGCCCACAAGGCGACGAUCAGUAGCCGGUCUGAGAGGAUGAACGGCCACAUUGGGACUGAGAUACGGCCCAG